UACGGAGGGUGCAAGCGUUGUUCGGAAUUACUGGGCGUAAAGCGCGCGUAGGCGGUUUGUUAAGUCAGAUGUGAAAGCCCAUGGCUCAACCAUGGACGUGCAUUUGAAACUGGCGGGCUUGAGGGCAGGAGAGGAGAGCGGAAUUCCUAGUGUAGCGGUGGAAUGCGUAGAUAUUAGGAGGAACACCAGUGGCGAAGGCGACCACCUGGCCAAAUACUGACGCUGAGGUGCGAAAGCGUGGGGAGCAAACAGG
RNAcentral lists this ribosomal RNA (253 nucleotides) under uncultured Desulfobulbaceae bacterium. Its description in RNAcentral is "partial 16S ribosomal RNA". It matches the Rfam family "Bacterial small subunit ribosomal RNA", at positions 524 to 776 of the family's 1533-position model. Lineage: Bacteria; Pseudomonadati; Thermodesulfobacteriota; Desulfobulbia; Desulfobulbales; Desulfobulbaceae. The record is from RNAcentral.